Scophthalmus maximus (turbot) is the source of this 878-nucleotide long non-coding RNA. RefSeq lists it as uncharacterized. The transcript has 3 exons. The record is from RefSeq and is a predicted model, not a curated record. NCBI's taxonomy places the organism in Eukaryota, Metazoa, Chordata, Actinopteri, Pleuronectiformes, Scophthalmidae.
UUUGAGGACCACCACCCUCACCCAGUGUGGGACCUCUUGAUAUUUCUUGGAGCUGUGGUGGAGCACAUUGGUGAUGAUGACCGUCUCCAGCAGACUGAUGACCAUGAGGGCCAGACACACGGAGAAAUAGAUACCUACAGGAAGUCGAAGGACAGGGGGACACAUUGAAAGAUCAAAUGAAAGAGGUCACGUGUGAAGGUCUAAUCACUCAGUGAUUUCUUUUGCAAGACUCUUUAGGUGUUCCGGUCACUACACCACCACGUGUCAUCCCCUCUGACCUAUGAUGGGCGUGCCGUUGGCUGUGCUGGGCAGCAGGUCGUUCAUGAUGAGCAGGAAGACGGUGUAGCCCAGGAUGAGUGUCAUCUUGAAGGAGGCGCGGUCAACGCUGUGGGGCGGCAGGUAGAAGGACAGGAUGUCGAUGAGCAUGAGGAAGGAGCUGGGGAUGAGCAGGUUGACCACGUAGAGCACUGGGCGCCGCUUGAUGACCACCUGGUGAACAAGAAAGAUUCAAGAGUAGCAAACAAUGUGUGAAUGGAUUUUCCUCACCCAAAUGGUGAUGAUGUCCCAUUCGUCGACUCCAAACUGAAGGAUGGACGUCUCUCCCAGUAUGUCCACCAGCUCCCACUCUCCACUGGCCUCCAGGUAAAGCUUUGAGUUUCUAGACAUCUCCUCGAAGGUCAGGGCUGGACUGACCCUGACAUCCCUUACUGUGAAAGAGGAAAACACAUUGAGAGAGAGAAAACUGGCCAGACAGUAUCAUAGUGCUGUCGAAGUGCUUCUGCAAGGUGACGCUGUUUUAUUACACAGUGAUUUUUAUUUUAGUUCUCCUUGUUCGUUUGUGUUUCAAAUCAGAGGAGCCUCUUCUUACUGGUGUGCAU